This 457-nucleotide ribosomal RNA is filed under the name uncultured marine microorganism. Its description in RNAcentral is "bacterial SSU rRNA". It matches the Rfam family "Bacterial small subunit ribosomal RNA", at positions 356 to 828 of the family's 1533-position model. The record is from RNAcentral.
GGGGAAUUUUCCGCAAUGGGCGAAAGCCUGACGGAGCAAUACCGCGUGAGGGAGGAAUGCCUUUGGGUUGUAAACCUCUUUUCUCAGGGAAGAAGAUCUGACGGUACCUGAGGAAUAAGUAUCGGCUAACUCCGUGCCAGCAGCCGCGGUAAUACGGAGGAUGCAAGCGUUAUCCGGAAUCAUUGGGCGUAAAGCGUCCGCAGGUGGUUUCCAAAGUCUGCUGUUAAAGACUGGAGCUCAACUCCGGAACGGCGGUGGAAACUUGGAAACUAGAGUUCGGUAGGGGUAGCAGGAAUUCCCAGUGUAGCGGUGAAAUGCGUAGAUAUUGGGAAGAACAUCGGUGGCGAAGGCGUGCUACUGGACCGUAACUGACACUCAGGGACGAAAGCUAGGGGAGCGAAAGGGAUUAGAUACCCCUGUAGUCCUAGCUGUAAACGAUGGAAACUAGGUGUGGCUU